RNAcentral lists this ribosomal RNA (525 nucleotides) under Psittiparus gularis (Grey-headed parrotbill). RNAcentral's name for it is "partial 16S ribosomal RNA". It matches the Rfam family "Bacterial large subunit ribosomal RNA", at positions 1843 to 2576 of the family's 2925-position model. The record is from RNAcentral. Lineage: Eukaryota; Metazoa; Chordata; Aves; Passeriformes; Sylviidae.
GUAUUGAAGGUGAUGCCUGCCCGGUGACGACGUUAAACGGCCGCGGUAUACUGACCGUGCGAAGGUAGCGCAAUCAAUUGUCCCGUAAAUCGGGACUAGUAUGAAUGGCUAAACGAGGUUCUAACUGUCUCUUACAGGCAAUCGGUGAAAUUGAUCUCCCUGUGCAAAAGCAGGGAUAAACACAUAAGACGAGAAGACCCUGUGGAACUUCAAAAUCAGCAGCCACUCCCAAAUACAUACACACCCAACCCGGGCUUACUACCCCACGGGAGACUGGCCUGCAAUUUUUCGGUUGGGGCGACCUUGGAGCAAAACAAAACCUCCAAAAAUUGGACCAUACAUCUAGACUAAGAGAGACAUCUCNACGUGCGAAUAGCAACCAGACCCAAUACAAUUGACCAAUGGACCAAGCUACCCCAGGGAUAACAGCGCAAUCUCCUCCGAGAGUCCAUAUCGACGGGGAGGUUUACGACCUCGAUGUUGGAUCAGGACAUCCUAGUGGUGCAGCAGCUACUAAGGGUUCGU